CAAGAUCGCGGAGGACACGGCGAGGAGGAUCGUGGAGGAACAAAACAGCAUCCUGGAGCACCAUCAGAAGGAGGACAUCAGCGAGGAGAAGCUCACAUACACAGAGAUGAAGUCUCGCUGGAAGCAAAAGGAGUUCAUGGCGAAGUCAUGGGAGGAUUAUGUUUCUAGGACUUCAAACUAUGAAGCCCUGAAGGAAGUAAAAGCACAGAGGGAGAAGAACGCUGAAUCAUCCAGACCUAAACCAAAGCACGAGGAUGCUGCUAUCCGCCCUG
Neolamprologus brichardi is the source of this 272-nucleotide non-coding RNA. NCBI's taxonomy places the organism in Eukaryota, Metazoa, Chordata, Actinopteri, Cichliformes, Cichlidae. The record is from RefSeq and is a predicted model, not a curated record.